Molecule: long non-coding RNA, 559 nt
Organism: Cyanistes caeruleus (blue tit)
Lineage: Eukaryota; Metazoa; Chordata; Aves; Passeriformes; Paridae
Source: RefSeq, a predicted model, not a curated record
GCACAUGGCAUCUGUGAAAAUCCCAUAUCAGAUGCACUCAAAUCAUGGGGAGAGAGAAAAACUGCCAAGAGUGCAAUGACUUGGUGAGCUCCUGGAGAAGACUUUUGCAGUGAGCAGGACUGUCCCUGAAGCAAAAGGAAGCUGGGAGAGCUUGGCUCUUCCCAAAGAAGAAAACUUUGAUCCGUCUCCUUGGCUGGACUGCAGAACAGCAUUGCACCAUCAUUUCUGAUGGCUCAUGAACUCUGUGAGCACACCUUCUCAUCCUGGCCGUGGUACCCCUGUGCUGUGGUGAUGUGCUGUUGCACUUCUGCCUGCCUGAAGGAUGUACACUACCCCCAGGUAAAGGAGCUGAAGAGAAAACCAUAAAAUCCAAGGAAUCGUGUGGAUGGACGUUUAACCUCAGGGGUUAAUACAGUUAUCUGGUACAGCUCUCUCUGUAAUUCUUUCAUUUAUACUGCAUUAAGGGUGUAAUGAAAUUUGAAAUAGCACCUCUGUACCUUUGACAGGCACAAUGAGCCAUGGAUCAUUUCUGAAAACUUAAUAUGCCUGGGAAAAUAAA